RNAcentral lists this ribosomal RNA (497 nucleotides) under uncultured bacterium. RNAcentral's name for it is "partial 16S ribosomal RNA". It matches the Rfam family "Bacterial small subunit ribosomal RNA", at positions 28 to 507 of the family's 1533-position model. The record is from RNAcentral.
GAUGAACGCUGGCGGCGUGCCUAAUACAUGCAAGUCGAGCGAACAGACGAGGCGCUUGCUCCUCUGACGUUAGCGGCGGACGGGAGAGUCACACGAGGAUAACCUACUUAUCAGACUGGUAUAACUUCGGGAAACCGGAGCUAAUCCCGGAUAAUCUAUUGCACCGCAUGGUUGAAUGGUGAAAGACGGCUUUGCUGUCUCUUAUCGAUGGAUCCGCGCCGCAUUGGCUAGUUGGUAAGGUCACGGCUUACGACGGCGAGGAUGCGUGGCCGACGUGAGAGGGGGAUCGGCCACACUGGAACUUGGCCACGGUCCAUAGUCCUGCGGGAGGCAGCAGUAGGGAAUCGUCCGCAAUGGGCGAAAGCCUGACGGAGCAGCGCGGCGUGAGUGGUGAAGGUCUUCGGAUCGUAAAACUCUGUUAUUAGGGAAGAACAAAUUUGUAAGUAACUAUGCACUUCUUGACGGUAACGAGUCAGAAAGCCACGGCUAACUACGUG